This 3373-nucleotide unclassified non-coding RNA is filed under the name Hevea brasiliensis (rubber tree). The record is from RNAcentral. Lineage: Eukaryota; Viridiplantae; Streptophyta; Magnoliopsida; Malpighiales; Euphorbiaceae.
UCUUUAACAACACUUGAGAUUGAGGGAUGUCAACAGCUUAUGACUUCGCUUCCAAGGGCUCCAACCGUCGUCAGGAUGGAGUUGAAGGACGAAUCCCAUGAUUUGCUGUUAAAAAAGCUGCCUUCUGGGAUGCACUGUCUUAUAGCUAGCCAUUUCCACUCCCUGGAUUCCCUGCUAAAGAAAGUGGAGCAGAUGGGUUGUUAUUCUACUACUUUAGAGGAAAUUGGAAUAGAAAACUGUGAAUCACUCGAAAGGUUCCCGUUAGAGAUGUUUCCUAAGUUAAAGAGGCUAGAUAUCAGUGGAUGCCCUAAUCUUAAAUAUCUUUUUGCACCCAUUACAGCUUUUGAGGAUUGCAUUUCUGUUCUUGAAGAAAGAAUGCCAGCUUCCUAUUUGACACGGCUUUGCCUAAGAGCAUGCCCCAAUCUAGCAGGGGCCUUGCCCAGUUACUUUCCUUUUUUAACCACACUUGUGAUCAUUGGAUGUCAGCGGCUUAUGGUUUCACUUCCAAAGGCUCCAACCAUCAUCACAAUGGAGUUGAGAGAUGAUUCUCGUGAGGUGGAGUUAGAGGAAUUGCCUUCUGGACUGCACCGCCUCUCAGUUGACAGAUUUGACUAUCCAUAUCCCUUGGUAGAGGGAGUAGAGCAAGCUGAUGGUCUUUCCACUACUUUAGAAGCAAUUGAGAUCAGAAACUAUGAUUCGCUUGAGUGCCUGCCAUUGAACUUCUUUCCCACGUUAAAGAGACUCAACGUCUAUAAAUGUCCAAAUCUUGUAUCCCUUUGUGCAACUGAGGCAAUUUAUGGGCAUUUCACAUUCCUCAGUACCUUGGAGAUUUGGAAGUGUCCUAAUUUGGUCUCAUUUCCCAAAGGAGGACUGUCCGCCCCUAAUUUGGCAUGGCUUUUGUUGUGGGAUUGUGAAAAUUUAAAGUCACUUCCUGAAUGUAUGCACUCUCUCCUCCCUUCCCUGGUGAAUUUGAAAAUAAGUCACUGUCCAGAGCUUCAGUCGUUUCCAGAUGGGGGUUUGCCCUCCAGACUAGAAUCACUUGAGAUCAUUAGUUGUGACAAACUCAUUGCUGGAUGCUUGGAAUGGAACUUGCAAUUACUCCCCUCUCUUUCUCACUUCUGUAUUGGAGAGUGUAAAGGCCUGAAAUCAUUUCCAAAGGAGCUGCUACUGCCCUCCACUCUUACCUCUCUUAAAAUUGUUGAUCUUCAAAGUCUCGAGUAUCUGGACGAUAAUGGGCUUCAACACCUCUCUUCUCUUAGACAAUUGCAGCUUCGGAACUGUCCUAAUCUACGGGCCAUGCCAAGAGAGGGGCUGCUCUCUUCCCUUGCGUCUCUGUCUAUCUGGAGUUGUCCUUGGCUGGAACUAAGGUGUCAACCGGAGAAAGGGGAAGAUUGGCCAAAGAUUUCUCACAUCCCCAACAUACAGCUUUCAGUCAGUUCAUUCGUUUAUCAUUCAGCAGCUCCUAAGCUUGUUGGGUUAGUUUCCGAUGAUCAACAAUGACAAGAGGAGAUCAGAAAUGCUGGCUCAAGCCUCAAGUAAACUAAAUUGGAAAAGAAAUUCGUGUGAUAUUCACCAAUAUGGGAUGGCAAGCAGUGGGAAAAAGCUUUUUUCUAGUAAGCCGUUCGUAAGUCAUAAAGCUUGUGCAAGGGAAGACUGUGCGUAUCUACUGACCCAGCAUUGUAAGGUAUGUUUUUGUCUUUUCAUUGGUUAAAUAUCUCUAGUAAUAGAAAUGUUCCUAAACAUCAUCCUCAAAUUUCCUAAUGGUUAUGUCUAUUAGUUCAAACGAUUUAUUCAGUUUCCUUUCUCUGAAAUCUCCAGCAUUUUCAAUGCCAUUGGUGGAGUGGCAUAUUUCCAUAAAUGCUUAUUGCCAUUUGUUGAAAGAAGGUUCUUUGCAAAUAUACGCAUCUACCACAUUUUUCAUUCCUGUUAUUUGUUCAUGUCAAAUACCUGCUAUCUUUUAUUCCAAGUCUUUGUAGAAUCAGGAUUCUCUAUUCUUUUGAAGGUUUAACAGUUAUCUUGCUGCUCGCGUCGGCAUCUAGCAACAUCACACCACAAUGCCUAUGCGAGCUCUUUGAACAGAAGGUAAACUUAUUCAGGGUGUAGCUGCAGUUCAUUCAGGGGUUGUCACAUGUAAUUUAUUUGUGCAAUGUAAAUCUACUUCAAAAUAUUUCGACUCUUAUCUUUCAGACCUGUGAAAAUGAGGUUCUUCCCUGCACUUUUAUUUCUUGAAUUAUAAUUACUCAUUUUCAGAUUGUGUUUCUUCAAGAGCUGCAGACUCCUUUAUGAUUCAGUAUUUGUUAUCAAGACAAUUUGAGAUAAUUAGUACCCUUUUGAUGAUUCACGUUGGCAAUUUUAUAGUCUUGAUCUUGAAACAAAGCUUCCCUUUUGAUGAUUCACGUUGGCGAAUUUAUAGUCUUAUCUUGAAACAAAGCUUCGGUUAUUAGUUAACAUCGCUUUGCAACAUUUUGAGACUAAUAUUUGUAUUUUAUACCUCUUUUACUUUAUGGAAAUAUUUUACUUUCAAGGAUGGAAAAGUUUCAAAUGUUUGCAUGGGUUACUUGAUUAAGGAAUGGAGCAUCAACAUUCCUGCAUGCCUGAGCAGAAAUUCAAGCAACAAGUAUACGGUUGUUGAUGCUUCCAAAUUCCCAUUAGAGUUAGCUCCGAUUGGCUAAACAUCCCUCAGUUAUAUGUUUGUCAUGGGGUUGACAAUCAUCUGCCUGCUACAAGGUCUGUCCUGAUGAAGAUUCAAAACUACUGGUGCGGAUGGUGCAUAUGUAUUGCAACAGGUUUCAAACCCACUGGCGGUAGUGUAGUGUUUGUAACUAGAAAAUUCAUUUUCAAGAAUGGGGUAAAGGAAUUCUAACAAACAUGCAUUCAAUCCAAUGAUUUUUCUGAUAUCCUUACUAGAAGCCUUGAUACAUCUGUUGCUGCACAGAAAAACCACCAUACCUACCAAUAUAGCAUCUCACAACUUGGCAUGAUAAAUUUAAAAAUAGAAAAGUAAAUAAAAUUUUAUACCUUUUUAACAAUAAUGUUUUUCUAUUAAAGGGUACAUGUAUAAACAUUGAAUUCUUGAAAAUUAGUUUGACCAUGCAAAACAAUAACAAAAUUUCUAUUUUUUUUAUAGGGAACAGAGGAGUGUGAAUUUGCACUUUAUUUUUUAGGCUGGACAAUAAAAUUCCUAUUUAUUUCACUGAAAUAAUUAUAUGAAUUCCUCAAUUUAUAUUUCAAUUAAAAUUACAUAAAUUAAAAAAUAAUAGUAAAUAAAUAGACCAAUUAGAGAUUUAAAUUUGCGCCAUCUCAUCCUUAUAGUAUCUCUGCUAUAAGUAAACAUUUCUCUAACCUUUUUAUAAUUUUUUUUUUUGUAUGUCAG